GAUGAAGAACGCAGCGAAAUGCGAUAAGUAAUGUGAAUUGCAGAAUUCAGUGAAUCAUCGAAUCUUUGAACGCACAUUGCGCCCGCUAGUAUUCUGGCGGGCAUGCCUGUCCGAGCGUCAUUUCAACCAUCAAGCCCCCGGGCUUGUGUUGGGGACCUGCGGCUGCCCGCAGGCCCUGAAAACCAGUGGCGGGCUCGCUGUCACACCGAGCGUAGUAGCAAUCACCUCGCUCAGGGCGUGCUGCGGGUUCCGGCCGUUAAACAGCCUUACAAAACCCAAGGUUGACCUCGGAUCAGGUAGGAAGACCCGCUGAACUUAAGCAUAUCAAUAAGCGGAGGA
RNAcentral lists this unclassified non-coding RNA (339 nucleotides) under soil metagenome. RNAcentral describes it as "partial contains 5.8S ribosomal RNA, internal transcribed spacer 2, and large subunit ribosomal RNA". The stretch from base 1 to 120 matches the Rfam family "5.8S ribosomal RNA", at positions 35 to 154 of the family's 154-position model. The record is from RNAcentral.